RNA transcript from Fragaria vesca subsp. vesca, 1648 nucleotides. RefSeq lists it as uncharacterized. The transcript has 5 exons. The record is from RefSeq and is a predicted model, not a curated record. NCBI's taxonomy places the organism in Eukaryota, Viridiplantae, Streptophyta, Magnoliopsida, Rosales, Rosaceae.
UUCUUAAGGCUAAAGCAUUGGAGAGGUGGGCGCCAUCUCCUUGUCGGCAACACGAAGCAGUUCAUUGUAGCUCAACUACUGAUCCCCAUUGACCCUCAUUUUCCUACCCUCUUGUGUUUCUUAACCUUCUUCAGUUUCUUGAUCACCCUGUUUCACUUCCAAUGGCGGCAGAGUCUCAAUCAGGCGCCCAGCCGCGGCUCAACUCCAGGCGCCACUACAACGUGGUGCACCCUGUUGACAUCGAGACACCUCCUCUGACGUCACCUGCUCCGGCCACUCCCACCGUGUUCCUGGAAGUCAAGCAUUUCAAGAAAUGGGUGGUGUGGUUGAUACCUACCUUUGUUAUCAUCAAUGUGAUCAUGUUUGUUAUCACUAUGUAUGUCAACAACUGCCCCAAGAACUCGGUUUCUUGCAUUGCCACGUUUUUGGGGAGGUUCUCGUUUCAGCCUUUUAAGGAGAACCCUCUUCUUGGGCCUUCAUCUUCUGCGUUGCAGAAAAUGGGUGCUUUGGAUGUGAAGAAGGUUGUUGAUGAUCACCAGGGGUGGCUUCUCAUUACUUGCAAUUGGCUACAUGGUGGUGUUUUCCAUUUACUUGCUAACAUGUUGAGUCUUUUGGUUAUUGGGUAUCGGCUAGAGCAAGAAUUCGGCUUUGUGCGUAUUGGGUUGCUAUAUGUCAUCUCAGGACUAGGUGGGAGUUUGAUGUCUUCACUUUUUAUCCAGUCAAAUAUCUCUGUUGGUGCUUCGGGUGCACUUUUUGGAUUGCUGGGAGCCAUGCUGUCUGAGCUUAUCACUAACUGGACAAUAUAUGCUAGUAAGGUAAGAAUUUAACUGCCCAGAAAAAGCUUCACAUAUACAAGAACUUUUGUGAUCACUAAUUCCUUAUCAUUAUUAUUCAGUUUGGAGCACUUUUCACCCUCCUGAUCAUCAUUACGAUCAAUUUAGCAGUGGGAAUCCUCCCACAUGUGGACAACUUUGCUCACAUUGGAGGAUUCCUUUCGGGAUUCUUUCUUGGGUUUGUGUUUCUUAUCCGUCCUCAGUUCGGAUGGGUUAACCAAAGAUAUGCUCCUCCGGAGUUCAGAGCAUCUGAAGUUAAAUCAAAGUUCAAGACCUAUCAGUGCAUAUUUUGGAUCCUUUCUCUGGUUAUUUUGAUUGUUGGAUUUACUGUUGGCCUGGUUAUGCUUAUCCGGGGAGUUGAUGCAAAUAAACAUUGUUCUUGGUGUCAUUAUUUGUCUUGUGUCCCAACAUCAAAAUGGAGCUGCCGGUCAGAGCCUGCAUACUGCUCGUCAACCCAGACAGGUGACCAGCUCUUUUUAACAUGCUCGAGCAAUGGAAAGAAUGGCACAUAUACGUAUGCAAAUGCAAGCAGCUCUCAGAUCCAGGGAUUGUGUUCUCAGCUUUGCAGUUGAUGUAUGAAGAACACAUGGACAUAUAUCAAGUUGGCAUCACUGCGUAGAUGUAUAAAUUAAUUUCCACAAGCAGGUUUUUGUAAUACCAGUUACCAUAUGCUUCUUAUUACUGUGUAAUCUUCAUUCUUGAUUUUUACGCUAAUUCGUUGUUCAUUCUCUUUCUUCUAUUUCUUUUUUCUUCUUUGGACAAUAAGUUGCAGUCUCUCUUAUUACUAUUAUUAUUUUUCUUUAUUUGUUAGACGG